Non-coding RNA from Mycena crocata, 96 nucleotides. The record is from the annotation of a GenBank genome assembly. NCBI's taxonomy places the organism in Eukaryota, Fungi, Basidiomycota, Agaricomycetes, Agaricales, Mycenaceae.
GCACCAAUGGUGUAGCGGCAAUACACACACUCAUGAUGUGGAUAAAAGCGCUCUGGAAGUUAUGAGUGGGUCCGGGUUCGAGUCCCUGUUGGUGCA